This 930-nucleotide long non-coding RNA is filed under the name Saimiri boliviensis boliviensis (Bolivian squirrel monkey). RNAcentral describes it as "lncRNA (ENSSBOG00000036546.1)". Lineage: Eukaryota; Metazoa; Chordata; Mammalia; Primates; Cebidae. The record is from RNAcentral.
UAGGCCCCACGUGAGCCUCAGGGAGCCCCCAGCGUCUUCACUGUUGUUGUCGUUAGUGUUAUCCCAAGAGUGCUCAACUGUAAAACGUUCUUUGCUUUUUUGUUAAGAGGAACAAAUAGCGAAGGUUUUGCUUUCAGGGGAAGAAGAGGAAGAGACGCAGUCAUCUGCUGAUGACCUCACCCCGUCCGUGACCUCCCACGAGGCCUCUGACCUCUUCCCAAACCGGAGUGGAUGUAGGUGACCCUAUUCCAGUCCUCUCCCAUGCCCAGGCCCCAGGCCAGGCAAGGGUGAUGCUGAUGAAGGGCCCUGGGGCUGGUGCGGGCCAAGAAUUCAUCACAGAUGAGGGAGUCUGCCUGAUGGGAAGCAUUGGUAGCCCGGGGGUGUGCCUUGUUCUCCCCCACCCUGGCCAGUAAGCAGGGACUGUUGGAGUGAUUCAGUUUAAACAAGGAGGGAAUGUGCUGGUUCCGUAGCAGAUCUAGAGACCAUCCCCAUAGCUGUCCUCCCCCGCAAGCCUGUGUGCUGGCUUUCCUGGGAGCUGAGAGCUGGGGCCCAGCGGUGCAGCAGCUGCUUGGAAGGGAAGGGAAGGGAAAGCCUCUUUCUUCAAAGUGCACCCCGGGUCCUGGGUUCCGUGCCCAUCCACGUCUCGGUGUCUGGCCAGGGACGGGGUCACAGCCUGGGGAUCAAGUGGAUGAAGAGUGGGAGUGGAGGGUCUUUGCCCGGAGAAGGGGCCGUGCAGGCUGCCGGCAGUGGAGACCCUGGGGGACCUGCCUCCAUUUUCCCAAAGCUCGUUUCCUGGCUGAUGAAGUCAAAGAACCUGGCUCUUCUGCCUCCUCUGACCCUGAGGAGGACUCCCUUCCUGCCAACAAAUGUAAGAAGGAGAUCAUGGUGGGACCUCAGUUCCAAGCUGACCUCAGCAGCCUGCACUUGAAC